RNAcentral lists this ribosomal RNA (253 nucleotides) under uncultured bacterium. RNAcentral's name for it is "partial 16S ribosomal RNA". It matches the Rfam family "Bacterial small subunit ribosomal RNA", at positions 524 to 776 of the family's 1533-position model. The record is from RNAcentral.
UACGUAGGGUGCAAGCGUUAAUCGGAAUUACUGGGCGUAAAGCGUGCGCAGGCGGCCGUGUGUGUCAGGUGUGAAAGCCCGGAGCUUAACUCCGGAAUUGCGCCUGAAACUACAUGGCUAGAGCAUUGGAGAGGGUAGCGGAAUUCACGGUGUAGCAGUGAAAUGCGUAGAUAUCGUGAGGAACACCAGAGGCGAAGGCGGCUACCUGGACAAUUGCUGACGCUCAGGCACGAAAGCGUGGGGAGCAAAAGGG